CUGUACUAUUAAUAGCGUCAAGUCAUUGGUUCUAUUAGAUUUUUGGCUUUUGGAUUAAAGAAUUUACAACUAUGAUGAUAGUGAUAUUUUAGGAUUGAAUGGAUGGUUGGUUGAAUAGUAUGAUCUAACAUGUGAAAAUGAUCAAAGGGAUAGAUCUAACGGUGAAAAACUUGAUAGAACCAAGUGCUUGAUGCUAAUGAUAAUGUUGAGACAUUUUGAUCAAUAGUGGGUCUAUUUAUUUUACCGAAAGUGAAGUUUAAGUUGACGUAGAUUUUCAGAUAAACUAAAGUUCAUGAAAAAAUUACUUUCCUUUUAUUGCUUGUUUGCUUGGAACUAAGUUCUCGCAAUCUUUUUGUUUGUCAAAUACAAAAUGAAUGAGGAAAAGAAGAGAGGCAUGAGUGGUACGUGAAUUAAUAUUUUAUUUUUUUUCCUCACUUUUUUUCUCUAUAUGUAAGGACUGAGAUUUUUGACAGUGCAACUAAACUCUCUGUUGAUGAUGUUUAUGUGUGUAAUUUAAUUACAUAAGCACUCGUCAAGUUUCAGG
This 544-nucleotide long non-coding RNA is filed under the name Ananas comosus (pineapple). RNAcentral describes it as "long non-coding RNA (ACOM_LNC037707)". Lineage: Eukaryota; Viridiplantae; Streptophyta; Magnoliopsida; Poales; Bromeliaceae. The record is from RNAcentral.